RNAcentral lists this ribosomal RNA (254 nucleotides) under uncultured bacterium. RNAcentral describes it as "partial 16S ribosomal RNA". It matches the Rfam family "Bacterial small subunit ribosomal RNA", at positions 524 to 776 of the family's 1533-position model. The record is from RNAcentral.
CACGUAGGGACCAAGCGUUGUCCGGAUUUAUUGGGCGUAAAGAGCUCGUAGGCGGUUCGGUAAGUCGGGUGUGAAAACUCUGGGCUCAACUCAGAGACGCCACCCGAUACUGCUGUGACUUGAGUCCGGUAGGGGAGUGGGGAAGUCCUGGUGUAGCGGUGAAAUGCGCAGAUAUCAGGAGGAACACCGGUGGCGAAGGCGCCACUCUGGGCCGGUACUGACGCUGAGGAGCGAAAGCGUGGGUAGCAAACAGG